Long non-coding RNA from Pseudoliparis swirei, 217 nucleotides. RefSeq lists it as uncharacterized. The transcript has 3 exons. The record is from RefSeq and is a predicted model, not a curated record. NCBI's taxonomy places the organism in Eukaryota, Metazoa, Chordata, Actinopteri, Perciformes, Liparidae.
UAAAGAAUGGAUAGAACGUGUGGCUGGGGAUGAUACCAAAGCUUUUUGUCGGUACUGCAAAACCGAGAUUCGUGCGCACCACAGUGAUCUCCAAAACCACAGCAAAACGGGGAAACACAUUCGAAAUGCUGCUCCGUUCUCCAGUUGUCGAGCAGGGAGGAAGAGAGAAAAGGGAAGAGAAAGCCUCAAGACAAAGCAACAGACCUGGCAACCCUGG